CAGCAGCCGCGGGAAUACGGAGGGUGCAAGCGUUAAUCGGAAUUACUGGGCGUAAAGCGCACGCAGGCGGUCUGACAAGUCAGAUGUGAAAUCCCCGGGCUUAACCUGGGAACUGCAUUUGAAACUGUCAGGCUGGAGUCUUGUAGAGGGGGGUGGAAUUCCAGGUGUAGCGGUGAAAUGCGUAGAGAUCUGGAGGAAUACCGGUGGCGAAGGCGGCCCCCUGGACAAAGACUGACGCUCAGGUGCGAAAGCGUGGGGAGCAAACAGGAUUAGAUACCCGAGUAGUCCAUGUCUCUUAUAC
RNAcentral lists this ribosomal RNA (301 nucleotides) under uncultured bacterium. Its description in RNAcentral is "partial 16S ribosomal RNA". It matches the Rfam family "Bacterial small subunit ribosomal RNA", at positions 509 to 807 of the family's 1533-position model. The record is from RNAcentral.